GUUUUCUAAUUAUUUUGUCUUUAUCAAAAAGUAAUUUAAGGACCUCCUACUCACAAUUGCAUCUUUUCUAUCUAACAGAUGUGAAUCACGUAGAAGUCAGUCAUAAUUUAUUUGCUUAAAAGAAAUGAGUGAAAACCUACUUAAAAGUGUAAAAGCUCAUAACUAUAACCACAUUGAAGCCUAAAAGAUGUAUCACAUAUUUGUGAUUUGUUGUCAGAAAUUUAGGGUGUCAGCAAUAGAACAUAUUUAGUACCUAUGAGCUACACGGUAGUACAAAGAAAAAAA
RNAcentral lists this long non-coding RNA (285 nucleotides) under Homo sapiens (human). RNAcentral describes it as "HSALNT0008955". Lineage: Eukaryota; Metazoa; Chordata; Mammalia; Primates; Hominidae. The record is from RNAcentral.